This 135-nucleotide ribosomal RNA is filed under the name uncultured bacterium. Its description in RNAcentral is "partial 16S ribosomal RNA". The record is from RNAcentral.
CACGAAGUUAGCCGGGGCUUACUCUCCAGGUACCGUCAUCAUCGUCCCUGGCAAAAGAGCUUUACAACCCGAAGGCCUUCAUCACUCACGCGGCAUUGCUGGAUCAGGGUUGCCCCCAUUGUCCAAUAUUCCCCA